Molecule: long non-coding RNA, 1101 nt
Organism: Tympanuchus pallidicinctus (lesser prairie-chicken)
Lineage: Eukaryota; Metazoa; Chordata; Aves; Galliformes; Phasianidae
Exons: 6
Source: RefSeq, a predicted model, not a curated record
AUCAGUCACCAAGGUAGAUUCAUUCCCCAGUAAAUAGUGCCCGAGGGCUUCCAGGACCUAUUUUACUGCUAAGCACUCUCUUUCCAAUGCUUGAAUACCUCUGUUCCCAGUGGAGCCGUUGCUGGCUGAUAUAUAUAUGAUAUGGGGAGUCCUGGUGACUUUUUUAUUUUUGCUCUGCUCAGCUCCUGGCCUCAUCUGAGCUGUGUUGGGCUGCACGAUGGAUGAUAUGUUCCAGGCUUUCCAUGUCUGGGGGCAAAUUGGGGCGAGAUGGCGCCGGGGGACCUGCGUGGUGGAGCCUGGUGCUGGGACAGCUUGCGAGGAGAGGGUGCAUAGAGGCUGGAGCAAUGGAGGAUGCUGGGGACACGUGCAGGGCUGACCGGCAGUGAUGAUCAAUGGGUCUCUAUUGCCUUCAGUUUUGUUCUUGUACAUGUACUCAGGUGCAGAAUGGAUCAGAUCAACCAGGUAGCUUACUACUAGCAUCACCUUCAACCUCCAAGUGUUGCGUACCUCAACAUCUCGAGCCGUGGAGGGCAUUGCACUGAUGCUCCCUGUAAGUGGAUCGCUGCUGGGAGGCACCAGAAGAAAAAAGGUGCUCCUGAUGAUCUCUGCUGCUUGUCUGGAGCCUCUAUUCUGGUCACUGUGACCUGCUGGCAAUAUGUCACCUUAGGUGGCGAAUUGCAGGGAUGUUCCCUGUGAUGUGAGAGCUGGAAGCUGGGUCUCUCACUGGAAGCAUCCCUCUCACUUAAGCAGCCUGUGUGUUGACACCAGCAACAAAUCUGGCCUUCGGAUGCCUUGACUGCUGCUACCUUAUUUAUGGCCUGGUGGAGGAUACGAGGGGAGGCAGUGCCUCCAGGCAGCCUUUUUCUGUCUUCUCCGGGCCCCUGUGCAGUGCUUGCAGGAAGAGGCUGGGCAGUGAUGCUGAGCCCACAAUGAUGCUCUUGCCUUUGCCAAGGACCAGGUGACCUCAUCAUCACUGCUGUCCCAAGGACAGGCUGCCAGAAGAUGCUGCAGUCACUGGAGAAUGCAUCUUUGGGGGAGCAGGAGCCCUCCAGGUCCUUGCUCAAGGAUUCCAGAUUGGCACCCUGUGAUGGAGGCCAGGAG